RNAcentral lists this ribosomal RNA (206 nucleotides) under Methylobacterium longum. Its description in RNAcentral is "partial 16S ribosomal RNA". It matches the Rfam family "Bacterial small subunit ribosomal RNA", at positions 508 to 713 of the family's 1533-position model. The record is from RNAcentral. Lineage: Bacteria; Pseudomonadati; Pseudomonadota; Alphaproteobacteria; Hyphomicrobiales; Methylobacteriaceae.
CCAGCAGCCGCGGUAAUACGAAGGGGGCUAGCGUUGCUCGGAAUCACUGGGCGUAAAGGGCGCGUAGGCGGCGUUUUAAGUCGGGGGUGAAAGCCUGUGGCUCAACCACAGAAUGGCCUUCGAUACUGGGACGCUUGAGUAUGGUAGAGGUUGGUGGAACUGCGAGUGUAGAGGUGAAAUUCGUAGAUAUUCGCAAGAACACCGGU